CUUCUCCAAGAGACCGAGGACCCGGGGAGCAGCGGCGGAGGCGAGGGCGGACGGAGGGAGGAAGGCGCCGCCCGGAUCUUCGGCUCCGGCUCCAUUCGGGAGGGCACUGGAGGGGGCCUGCGGCGCGGCCGCGAGCCGGCGGGGCUCGGCCCGGAGCUGGGCCGCACGAAGGGGGCCCGUCCGGUGCCAGAGAGGCUGAAGUCGCAGGAACAUGCGCUCGGCGCGGGCCGCGCGCGCCCACCUACCGGACCACGGGCGCGGCCGCCUCCCGCGGGCUCCGCGAGCGCCCGGCCGCCGUCCAUGGCCCCCGCCUCGGGCCCGAAGCUCAGCCGGCGCCCCAGACGAGGCCCCGCCGCCCGCUCCAUUCCCCUCCUCACGCCUCAGCUGCUGCUGGGCGCCGCCAUCAUAGAGGGUGAUCGCGGACUACGGACUGAUGAGACGAGGUAUCUAGGGGACUGUCGUCCAAGGCCGCCAACUCCAGGGAAUGUCAGGAAACAAAGAGGCAUUUCCCCACACAAAACCCUUGCACGUUUAAGCCUGUCUUGCUGUCUACCUCUCAGAGGACACUUGAGCCAAGGCACGAAGCCAUGAAAGAACAGAGCCAGAGAAAGAGGACUUCCUUCCUGGUUGCGGGUGCACGAAUGGCUUCUCCAGCACCAGACUCCUGCCCUAGUGCUCGCCCACAGCACAGAGCCGCCAACAGCUUCCUCCAGCAGCCCCCUCAGGCAAGGCCCUAGCUGAACGCCUCCCAUAAGGUCCCUCCCCUCGAACGCCUUUCUCGGCCCCAAAAGGGUGGAUUUCCAUAAAGUUCCAGAGUGCACCUUUCCUGUGAAUUUGUG
Molecule: long non-coding RNA, 839 nt
Filed under: Equus caballus (horse)
Lineage: Eukaryota; Metazoa; Chordata; Mammalia; Perissodactyla; Equidae
Description: lncRNA (ENSECAG00000052047.1)
Source: RNAcentral